GGUGAAUUACGCGGCGGGGCUGUCGCCGUACGCGGACAAGGGCAAGUGCGGCCUUCCCGAGAUCUUCGACCCCCCAGAGGAGCUGGAGCGGAAGGUGUGGGAACUGGCGAGGCUGGUCUGGCAGUCCUCCAAUGUGGUGUUCCACACGGGUGCCGGCAUCAGCACUGCCUCUGGCAUCCCCGACUUCAGGGGUCCCCACGGAGUCUGGACCAUGGAGGAGCGAGGUCUGGCCCCCAAGUUCGACACCACCUUUGAGAGCGCGCGGCCCACGCAGACCCACAUGGCGCUGGUGCAGCUGGAGCGCGUGGGCCUCCUCCACUUCCUGGUCAGCCAGAACGUGGACGGGCUCCAUGUGCGCUCAGGCUUCCCCAGGGACAAACUGGCAGAGCUUCACGGGAACAUGUUUGUGGAAGAAUGUGCCAAGUGUAAGACGCAGUAUGUCCGGGACACAGUCGUGGGCACGAUGGGCCUGAAGGCCACGGGCCGGCUCUGCACCGUAGCUAAGGCAAGGGGGCUGCGGGCCUGCAGGGGAGAGCUGAGGGACACCAUCCUAGACUGGGAGGACUCCCUGCCCGACCGGGACCUGGCACUCGCCGAUGAGGCCAGCAGGUGUGACCCCCCCACCCCCAGGGAGCCCAUGGUGGGGCAGGGUGGGACGACGGCAGAAACACAGCCAGCUCCAGCACGGGACAGUGGCUGAGGCUCAGAGGCAGUCAGG
Molecule: small RNA, 718 nt
Filed under: Pongo abelii (Sumatran orangutan)
Lineage: Eukaryota; Metazoa; Chordata; Mammalia; Primates; Hominidae
Description: retained intron
Source: RNAcentral